UGGGGAAUCUUGGACAAUGGGGGCAACCCUGAUCCAGCGACGCCGCGUGGGUGGUAAGGCCUUCGGGUUGUAAAGCUCUUUCACCGGUGACGAUGAUGACGGUAGCCGGAGAAGAAGCCCCGGCUAACUCCGUGCCAGCAGCCGCGGUAAUACGGAGGGGGCAAGCGUUGUUCGGAAUUACUGGGCGUAAAGGGCGCGCAGGCGGUCUGUUGCGUCAGGCGUGAAAGCCCCGGGCUCAACCCGGGAACUGCGCUUGAUACGGGCAGGCUUGAAGCCGGCAGAGGGUGGUGGAAGUCCCAGUGUAGAGGUGAAAUUCGUAGAUAUUGGGAAGAACACCGAAGGCGAAGGCAGCCAUCUGGGCCGGUCUUGACGCUGAGGCGCGAAAGCGUGGGGAGCGAACAGGAUUAGAUACCCGGGUAGUCC
This 423-nucleotide ribosomal RNA is filed under the name uncultured prokaryote. Its description in RNAcentral is "bacterial SSU rRNA". It matches the Rfam family "Bacterial small subunit ribosomal RNA", at positions 355 to 796 of the family's 1533-position model. The record is from RNAcentral.